RNAcentral lists this ribosomal RNA (662 nucleotides) under uncultured Actinomycetes bacterium. RNAcentral's name for it is "bacterial SSU rRNA". It matches the Rfam family "Bacterial small subunit ribosomal RNA", at positions 61 to 737 of the family's 1533-position model. Lineage: Bacteria; Bacillati; Actinomycetota; Actinomycetes. The record is from RNAcentral.
GUCGAGCGGAAAGGCCCUUUCGGGGGUACUCGAGCGGCGAACGGGUGAGUAACACGUGAGUAAUCUGCCCUGCGCUCUGGGAUAGCCACCGGAAACGGUGAUUAAUACCGGAUAGGACCACUUCACGCAUGUGAUGGUGGUGGAAAGUUUUUUCGGCGCAGGAUGUGCUCGCGGCCUAUCAGCUUGUUGGUGAGGUAACGGCUCACCAAGGCUUUGACGGGUAACCGGCCUGAGAGGGUGACCGGUCACACUGGGACUGAGACACGGCCCAGACUCCUACGGGAGGCAGCAGUGGGGAAUAUUGGACAAUGGGCGGAAGCCUGAUCCAGCAACGCCGCGUGAGGGAUGACGGCCUUCGGGUUGUAAACCUCUUUCAGUACCGACGAAGCGAAAGUGACGGUAGGUACAGAAGAAGGACCGGCCAACUACGUGCCAGCAGCCGCGGUAAUACGUAGGGUCCGAGCGUUGUCCGGAAUUAUUGGGCGUAAAGGGCUCGUAGGCGGUUUGUCGCGUCGGGAGUGAAAACACCGGGCUUAACUCGGUGCUUGCUUUCGAUACGGGCAGACUAGAGGUAUGCAGGGGAGAAUGGAAUUCCUGGUGUAGCGGUGAAAUGCGCAGAUAUCAGGAGGAACACCGGUGGCGAAGGCGGUUCUCUGGGCAUU